This 781-nucleotide ribosomal RNA is filed under the name uncultured bacterium. RNAcentral's name for it is "bacterial SSU rRNA". It matches the Rfam family "Bacterial small subunit ribosomal RNA", at positions 105 to 897 of the family's 1533-position model. The record is from RNAcentral.
GGUGAGUAACGCGUUGGUGACCUGCCCCAAAGUGUGGGAUAACAGUUCGAAAGGAUUGCUAAUACCGCAUGUGGUCAUUGGAUCUAGAAACCGAUGACUAAAGCAGUAAUGCGCUUUGGGAGGGGCCUGCGUCCCAUCAGCUAGUUGGUAGGGUAAUGGCCUACCAGGGCGACGACGGGUAGGGGACCUGAGAGGGUGGCCCCCCACAAUGGAACUGAAACACGGUCCAUACACCUACGGGUGGCAGCAGUAGGGAAUAUUGCUCAAUGGGCGAAAGCCUGAAGCAGCAACGCCGCGUGUGCGAUGAAGGUCUUCGGAUCGUAAAGCACUUUUCUGAGAGAUGAGAAAGGACAGUAUCUCAGGAAUAAGUCUCGGCUAACUACGUGCCAGCAGCCGCGGUAACACGUAGGAGGCGAGCGUUAUCCGGAUUCACUGGGCGUAAAGCGCGUGCAGGCGGUUUGGUAAGUUGGGCGUGAAAGCUCCCGGCUCAACUGGGAGAGGUCGUUCAAUACUACCAGACUAGAGAGCAGAAGAGGAAGAUGGAAUUCCCGGUGUAGUGGUGAAAUGCGUAGAUAUCGGGAGGAACACCAGUGGCGAAGGCGAUCUUCUGGUCUGUUUCUGACGCUCAGACGCGACAGCUAGGGUAGUAAACGGGAUUAGAGACCCCGGGUAAUCCUAGCCCGUAAACGAUGUGAACUUUGGCGUUGGUGGCUUAAACACCAUCAGUGCCGAAGCAAACGCGAUUAGUUCACCAGCCUGGGGACUACAGCCGCAAGGAUGA